Molecule: long non-coding RNA, 275 nt
Organism: Quercus lobata
Lineage: Eukaryota; Viridiplantae; Streptophyta; Magnoliopsida; Fagales; Fagaceae
Exons: 3
Source: RefSeq, a predicted model, not a curated record
GAUUGGAGAUUCUAGCUUUCCCUUGCAUUCAGUUUGGUGGGCAAGAACCUGGAUCAAACCCAAAAAUCAAGCAAUUUGCUUGUACAAGGUUCAUGUCAAUGGGCCAAGUAUAGCUCCAGUUUACCAGUUCCUGUAAUUGAGCGCUGGAGGGUUUUUAGGUGAUCUUAUAAAGUGGAAUUUUGAAAAGUUCUUGGUGGACAAAAAUGGUAAAGUUGUUGAAAGAUACCAACCAACAACAUCACCUUUUCAAAUUGAGAAGGAUAUCCAAAGGCACC